UGACCGCCCUUGUCAGGUCUCCUCCUUUGUUCUUCCCCUCUCCCAAAACGAGCGCCGCCAGAGUUCCAAAAUCCCCCCUUCUCAAGCUGAUCUCUCCGCACCCUCUUCCCCCUCCCCAGAUCAGAGCCUCGGCCCGCCCCCGCACGCUCUUCGCCCCCUUCUCCGCCUAUAGGGCUCGAUCCACGGCACAAUCGCCAUCCCACGUCGAUCUCGGUGACCCCGCUGCGCCGCCCGUGGAGAUUGACCAUACUGCCAAGCCCGCGGUGACAGCACCGUACUCCGCCUAUUCGAUGCCGACCGGUAGCACGCAAGGAAAUGGCGGUGCCGGACGCGCGCGUCGCUGAUGGUCAGGCUGCCGAGGCAAAGGUUGGAGUCGCUCUUGCAGGAACUCUGGCGGACACUUCGGGCUGGGCGACUUCGAUCUCGGCGUCUCACUUCCUGAUGUAGCCACCGACUCCGAGGCGCAUACAGGGACAACAAGGGCGGUGACAACAACGGCGAUGUGGUUCAAUGGUGUGUGACUUAGACUACGCGACAAAUCAGCCUCAUGCUGUAAGCUCAUCAGAUGGUCCUCUCAAGACUUGGAUCGGCAACUUGAUGCAAGUGAUCAAGGGAUGUUUGGAAUGUAUACUGCUCAAAUGCUAACACUGUGUUGCUGUGUAGUUAAUUAGCAUUAUAGUUGAAGUGUUUUGGUCUAGCAACUCUAGUUGAUUUGUGGUCUAGUCUAUAGCAGAUUGUUUAUGCAGAUUGAAGUGUUCUAGCAAUUUAGCAACUUAGGCUAGCCUUUCUUUGAAUUUAUGGCCAGUAUGAAUAUGAUGUAUAAUGAUUUUUCGCUAAUUUAUAAAUUAUUUGAUUUAUGGCUGAUAUUAAUCCA
This is a long non-coding RNA of Triticum dicoccoides, 874 nucleotides long. RefSeq lists it as uncharacterized. Lineage: Eukaryota; Viridiplantae; Streptophyta; Magnoliopsida; Poales; Poaceae. The record is from RefSeq and is a predicted model, not a curated record. The transcript has 2 exons.